Molecule: ribosomal RNA, 164 nt
Filed under: Chrysosplenium serreanum
Lineage: Eukaryota; Viridiplantae; Streptophyta; Magnoliopsida; Saxifragales; Saxifragaceae
Description: 5.8S ribosomal RNA
Rfam family: 5.8S ribosomal RNA
About the family: 5.8S ribosomal RNA (5.8S rRNA) is a component of the large subunit of the eukaryotic ribosome. It is transcribed by RNA polymerase I as part of the 45S precursor that also contains 18S and 28S rRNA. Functionally, it is thought that 5.8S rRNA may be involved in ribosome translocation.
Source: RNAcentral
AUAAUGACUCUCGGCAACGGAUAUCUCGGCUCUCGCAUCGAUGAAGAACGUAGCGAAAUGCGAUACUUGGUGUGAAUUGCAGAAUCCCGUGAACCAUCGAGUUUUUGAACGCAAGUUGCGCCCAAAGCCAUUUGGUUGAGGGCACGUCUGCCUGGGCGUCACGU